GAUGAACGCUGGCGGCGUGCUUAACACAUGCAAGUCGAACGGAAAGGCCCAAGCUUGCUUGGGUACUCGAGUGGCGAACGGGUGAGUAACACGUGGGUGAUCUGCCCUGCACUUCGGGAUAAGCCUGGGAAACUGGGUCUAAUACCGGAUAGGACGAUGGUUUGGAUGCCAUUGUGGAAAGUUUUUUCGGUGUGGGAUGAGCUCGCGGCCUAUCAGCUUGUUGGUGGGGUAAUGGCCUACCAAGGCGUCGACGGGUAGCCGGCCUGAGAGGGUGUACGGCCACAUUGGGACUGAGAUACGGCCCAGACUCCUACGGGAGGCAGCAGUGGGGAAUAUUGCACAAUGGGCGCAAGCCUGAUGCAGCGACGCCGCGUGGGGGAGGACGGCCUUCGGGUUGUAAACUCCUUUCGCUAGGGACGAAGCGUUUUGUGACGGUACCUGGAGAAGAAGCACCGGCUAACUACGUG
RNAcentral lists this ribosomal RNA (467 nucleotides) under uncultured bacterium. Its description in RNAcentral is "partial 16S ribosomal RNA". It matches the Rfam family "Bacterial small subunit ribosomal RNA", at positions 28 to 507 of the family's 1533-position model. The record is from RNAcentral.